AGUGAACGCUGGCGGUAGGCCUAACACAUGCAAGUCGAACGGCAGCACAGGAGAGCUUGCUCUCUGGGUGGCGAGUGGCGGACGGGUGAGGAAUACAUCGGAAUCUACUCUGUCGUGGGGGAUAACGUAGGGAAACUUACGCUAAUACCGCAUACGACCUACGGGUGAAAGCAGGGGAUCUUCGGACCUUGCGCGAUUGAAUGAGCCGAUGUCGGAUUAGCUAGUUGGCGGGGUAAAGGCCCACCAAGGCGACGAUCCGUAGCUGGUCUGAGAGGAUGAGCAGCCACACUGGAACUGAGACACGGUCCAGACUCCUACGGGGGGCAGCAGUGGGGAAUAUUGGACAAUGGGCGCAAGCCUGAUCCAGCCAUACCGCGUGGGUGAAGAAGGCCUUCGGGUUGUAAAGCCCUUUUGUUGGGAAAGAAAUCCAGCUGGCUAAUACCCGGUUGGGAUGACGGUACCCAAAGAAUAAGCACCGGCUAACUUCGUGCCAGCAGCCGCAGUAA
This 506-nucleotide ribosomal RNA is filed under the name uncultured bacterium. RNAcentral's name for it is "partial 16S ribosomal RNA". It matches the Rfam family "Bacterial small subunit ribosomal RNA", at positions 29 to 523 of the family's 1533-position model. The record is from RNAcentral.